AGUGAACGCUGGCGGUAUGCCUAACACAUGCAAGUCGAACGGCAGCACAGGAAGAUCUUGCUCGUACGGGUGGCGAGUGACGGACGGGUGAGGAAUACAUCGGAAUCUACUUUUUCGUGGGGGAUAACGUAGGGAAACUUACGCUAAUACAUCAUACGACGAACGGGAUAAAUCAGGGAGGCUUCGAGCCUUGCGCUAUUGCAUGAGCCGAUGUCGGAUUAGCUAGUUGGCGGGGUAAAGGCCCACCAAGGCGACGAUCCGUAGCUGGUCUGAGAGGAUGAUCAGCCACACUGGAACUGAGACACGGCCCAGACUCCUACGGGAGGCAGCAGUAGGGAAUCUUGGACAAUGGGCGCAAGCCUGACCCAGCAACGCCGCGUGAGUGAAGAAGGCCUUCGGGUUGUAAAGCCCUUUUGUUGGGAAAGAACAGCAGCAGGUUAAUCCCCCGCUGUUCUGACGGUACCCAAAGAAUAAGCACCGGCUAACUUCGUG
This 492-nucleotide ribosomal RNA is filed under the name uncultured bacterium. RNAcentral describes it as "partial 16S ribosomal RNA". It matches the Rfam family "Bacterial small subunit ribosomal RNA", at positions 29 to 507 of the family's 1533-position model. The record is from RNAcentral.